This 301-nucleotide ribosomal RNA is filed under the name uncultured bacterium. RNAcentral describes it as "partial 16S ribosomal RNA". It matches the Rfam family "Bacterial small subunit ribosomal RNA", at positions 509 to 809 of the family's 1533-position model. The record is from RNAcentral.
CAGCCGCCGCGGUAAAACGUAGGUGGCAAGCGUUGUCCGGAAUUAUUGGGCGUAAAGGGCUCGCAGGCGGUUUCUUAAGUCUGAUGUGAAAGCCCCCGGCUCAACCGGGGAGGGUCAUUGGAAACUGGGAAACUUGAGUGCAGAAGAGGAGAGUGGAAUUCCACGUGUAGCGGUGAAAUGCGUAGAGAUGUGGAGGAACACCAGUGGCGAAGGCGACUCUCUGGUCUGUAACUGACGCUGAGGAGCGAAAGCGUGGGGAGCGAACAGGAUUAGAUACCCCCGUAGUCCCUGUCUCUUAUAU